RNAcentral lists this ribosomal RNA (467 nucleotides) under uncultured bacterium. RNAcentral's name for it is "partial 16S ribosomal RNA". It matches the Rfam family "Bacterial small subunit ribosomal RNA", at positions 28 to 506 of the family's 1533-position model. The record is from RNAcentral.
GACGAACGCUGGCGGCGUGCUUAACACAUGCAAGUCGAACGGAAAGGCCCUGCUUUUUGGGGGUGCUCGAGUGGCGAACGUGUGAGUAACACGUGAGUAACCUGCCCUUGACUUUGGUAUAACUUCAGGAAACUGGGUCUAAUACCGGAUAGGAGCUCCUGCUGCAUGGUGGGGUUGGGAAAGUUUCGGCGGUUGGGGAUGGACUCGCGGCUUAUCAGCUUGUUGGUGGGGUAGUGGCUUACCAAGGCUUUGACGGGUAGCCGGCCUGAGAGGGUGACCGGCCACAUUGGGACUGGGAUACGGCCCAGACUCCUACGGGAGGCAGCAGUGGGGAAUAUUGCACAAGGGGCGGAAGCCUGAGGAAGCAACGCCGCGUGCGGGAUGACGGCCUUCGGGUUGAAAACCGCUUUCGCAUGUGACGAAGCGUGAGUGACGGUAAUGGGGAAAGAAGCACCGGCUAACUACGU